AUACGGAAGGUCCGGGCGUUAUCCGGAUUUAUUGGGUUUAAAGGGAGCGCAGGCGGAGAUGCAAGCGUGACGUCAAAUUUCGGGGCUCAACCCCGUCUCGCGUCGCGAACUGCGUCCCUUGGUUGCGGGAAGGGGAGGCGGAACUCGUGGUGUAGCGGUGAAAUGCAUAGAUAUCACGAAGAACUCCGAUCGCGAAGGCAGCCUUCCGGCCCGUCAACGACGCUCAUGCUCGAAGGUGCGGGUAUCAAACAGGAUUAGAUACCCUGGUAGUCCGCACAGUAAACGAUGGACUCCCGCGGUUUGGCCUGUAUGGCUGAGCCGCCAAGCGAAAGCGUUAAGUGUCCCACCUGGGGAGUACGCCGGCAACGGUGAAACUCAAAUGAAUUGGCGGGG
This 393-nucleotide ribosomal RNA is filed under the name uncultured bacterium. RNAcentral's name for it is "partial 16S ribosomal RNA". It matches the Rfam family "Bacterial small subunit ribosomal RNA", at positions 523 to 918 of the family's 1533-position model. The record is from RNAcentral.